This is a non-coding RNA of Tricharina praecox, 72 nucleotides long. NCBI's taxonomy places the organism in Eukaryota, Fungi, Ascomycota, Pezizomycetes, Pezizales, Pyronemataceae. The record is from the annotation of a RefSeq genome assembly.
GGUGGCGUGGUGUAGUGGCAACACGUUUGCUGGCAACAGCGGAAGACGAGGGUUCAAAUCCCUUUGCUAUCU